RNAcentral lists this ribosomal RNA (793 nucleotides) under uncultured bacterium. Its description in RNAcentral is "bacterial SSU rRNA". It matches the Rfam family "Bacterial small subunit ribosomal RNA", at positions 8 to 796 of the family's 1533-position model. The record is from RNAcentral.
AGAGUUUGAUCCUGGCUCAGGAUGAACGCUAGCGGCAGGCUUAAUACAUGCAAGUCGAGGGGCAGCAAGGGUAGCAAUACCUGUUGGCGACCGGCAAACGGGUGCGGAACACGUACAGAACCUUCCUUUAAGUGGGGGAUAGCCCGGAGAAAUCCGGAUUAAUACCCCGUAAGAUUAUGGUGUGGCAUCACACAGUAAUUAAAGAUUUAUCGCUUAGAGAUGGCUGUGCGGCUGAUUAGGUAGUUGGCGGGGUAAAGGCCCACCAAGCCUGCGAUCAGUAACUGGUGUGAGAGCACGACCAGUCACACGGGCACUGAGACACGGGCCCGACUCCUACGGGAGGCAGCAGUAAGGAAUAUUGGUCAAUGGACGCAAGUCUGAACCAGCCAUGCCGCGUGAAGGAUGAAGGCCCUCUGGGUUGUAAACUUCUUUUAUCUGGGAAGAAAUGCAUUUAUUCUUAAGUGUUUGACGGUACCAGAGGAAUAAGCACCGGCUAACUCCGUGCCAGCAGCCGCGGUAAUACGGAGGGUGCAAGCGUUAUCCGGAUUCACUGGGUUUAAAGGGUGCGUAGGUGGGUCUGUAAGUCAGUGGUGAAAUCUCCGUGCUUAACAUGGAAACUGCCAUUGAUACUAUAGAUCUUGAAUUUUCUGGAGGAUAGCGGAAUAUGUCAUGUAGCGGUGAAAUGCUUAGAUAUGACAUAGAACACCAAUUGCGAAGGCAGCUAUCUACAGGGAUAUUGACACUGAGGCACGAAAGCGUGGGGAUCAAACAGGAUUAGAUACCCUAGUAGUCC